UGGGGAAUAUUGGACAAUGGGCGAAAGCCUGAUCCAGCCAUGUCGCGUGUGUGAAGAAGGUCUUCGGAUUGUAAAGCACUUUAAGUUGGGAGGAAGGGCAUUAACCUAAUACGUUAGUGUUUUGACGUUACCGACAGAAUAAGCACCGGCUAACUCUGUGCCAGCAGCCGCGGUAAUACAGAGGGUGCAAGCGUUAAUCGGAAUUACUGGGCGUAAAGCGCGCGGAGGUGGUUUGUUAAGUUGGAUGUGAAAUCCCCGGGCUCAACCUGGGAACUGCAUUCAAAACUGACUGACUAGAGUAUGGUAGAGGGUGGUGGAAUUUCCUGUGUAGCGGUGAAAUGCGUAGAUAUAGGAAGGAACACCAGUGGCGAAGGCGACCACCUGGACUAAUACUGACACUGAGGUGCGAAAGCGUGGGGAGCAAACA
RNAcentral lists this ribosomal RNA (427 nucleotides) under uncultured bacterium. Its description in RNAcentral is "partial 16S ribosomal RNA". It matches the Rfam family "Bacterial small subunit ribosomal RNA", at positions 355 to 774 of the family's 1533-position model. The record is from RNAcentral.